This 247-nucleotide ribosomal RNA is filed under the name uncultured bacterium. RNAcentral describes it as "partial small subunit ribosomal RNA". It matches the Rfam family "Bacterial small subunit ribosomal RNA", at positions 26 to 278 of the family's 1533-position model. The record is from RNAcentral.
AGGACGAACGCUGGCGGCGUGCUUAACACAUGCAAGUCGAGCGGAAAGGCCCUUCGGGGUACUCGAGCGGCGAACGGGUGAGUAACACGUGAGCAACCUGCCCUUAGCUCCGGGAUAGCUCCGGGAAACCGGAAUUAAUACCGGAUACGACCACGGCCGACAUCUGCUGUGGUGGAAAGGAUUCCGGCUAAGGAUGGGCUCGCGGCCUAUCAGCUAGCUGGUGGAGUAACGGCCCACCAAGGCGACG